CCGCUGCUCCGCGGGGAGAACGGGAGCGGUCACCUGCUCCGAGCCGAGCCAAGUGUUUGCAUAAUUGAAGCGCGGGUUUACGUGCGCUUUUUACGUACCAGAAAUGAUCUCGAGUCGCUGUGUGUUGUGGAGGCACGGUGUGUUCAAGAUGCAUCAGUGAUCCCAAAGGAUAGGCAGCUAUCUUUCAGAGCAUGUCCUCAUCCACUUUUAUAAGCUGGUGAGCUGAUUUUGUGUUCUUUGACUUGGGUGGUCCUUCACUACCCUUUAGCUCCUGUGUGGGCAACCUUGUCUAGUGGGCACCGUGCCCACAGCAGGGAGUUGGAAGUGGUUUUUAAGGUCUCUUCCAACUCAAGCCAUUCUCUGAAUCUGUGAUUCAUACUGAUGAAAGUUAAGUGAAAUGUUACCAAUAGAAAGAACGUCUCCUUAAAGGAAUCUUUCCUGGCACAAGAAGUAAUUAACAUUUUUUUGUUUUCUUAAUAAAACUUUAAAAAAAAAACACCCACAUCAAAUUCACUUAAAAACUCCUGAACCUUCUAAAAUGUGCAAAUGUGUAUCACAAGCAACCUUAAUCGUGGCAUUCUUUGAAAUAUCUGACUAUAGUUUUAGUAAUAUUCUUUUCACUAUAUAUGAUUUGCUAUGUAAGAAAAAAAGGAAAGAACGUUUUUGUCAUGAAUCUGACAGCAUUGGAAUGAUGUAAACAUAAUUUUUCACUUUUGGACUCUGCAGACAUCUACUGAGCAAUUGAGAACUGAAAUAUCACUUGCAGGGGAUGAGACAUUUUGGAUGCUGGGUUUCACAGACAGAAUAGUUUAAGCGCACUUGUCAAUAUUGCUGUUAUUUGUCAUGGCAACAUACAGUAAGGUUCAAUUGGCUCUUGAUGUAAAAGCAUAGCUGCAAAUUCAUCACUUGUGUCACGUGCUGUCUGCUGCAGCAUGUGAGCAGUGUUCAGAUCAUCUGCAGCAACACUGCAAGUGUCACUCUUUUAUUCUAAGCAUUCAGGUCAUAUUGAUGCCUUCCCAGAGUGGAAACAGUGCUGUGAUACAGCAAGUUCAGUUUCACAAGCACUUUGGAGACCAAAGGAAUGGUCUCCAAAUUUAUAUGGUCUGUUAUACAGUAUGCAGUUCAGCUUUUUAGGUCUCUCUAGCAUUUUUUGCCUUCUAGAUUCCCUUAGCCUAUUUGAGUGUAUUUUGUAAUGGAUCUCUUCCUUCUUCUACUUAUGAUACUUAUGAAUUUUAUUUCUGUACAGUCUGUCUUUUAUAAGCUUUAGUAUUCAUCAGUCACACAGGAACACCCCAGUGCUUCAGGCAUUAUUCCUGGAGGUGGUAUCAUUUGUUAUUUUUUUCCCAAUAAGAUAGUA
Meleagris gallopavo (turkey) is the source of this 1357-nucleotide non-coding RNA. The record is from RefSeq and is a predicted model, not a curated record. Lineage: Eukaryota; Metazoa; Chordata; Aves; Galliformes; Phasianidae.